CCUACGGGAGGCAGCAGUGGGGAAUAUUGCACAAUGGGGGAAACCCUGAUGCAGCGACGCCGCGUGAGUGAAGAAGUAAUUCGGUACGUAAAGCUCUAUCAGCAGGGAAGAAAAUGACGGUACCUGAGUAAGAAGCCACGGCUAACUACGUGGCAGCAGCCGCGGUAAUACGGAGGGGGCAAGCGUUAUCCGGAUUUACUGGGUGUAAAGGGAGAGUAGGCGGUGCGGCAAGUAUGGAGGGAAAGGCCGCAGCUUAACUGCGGAACUGCUUUGGAAACUGGCGAACUAGAGUGCGGGAGGGGUAAGCGGAAUUCCUAGUGUAGCGGUGAAAUGCGUAGAUAUUAGGAGGAACACCGAUGGCGAAGGCGGCUUACUGGACCGUAACUGACGUUGAGGCUCGAAAGCGUGGGGAGCAAACAGGAUUAGAUACCCCUGUAGUC
Molecule: ribosomal RNA, 440 nt
Filed under: uncultured bacterium
Lineage: Bacteria
Description: partial 16S ribosomal RNA
Rfam family: Bacterial small subunit ribosomal RNA
Source: RNAcentral